UUAUUUAUUUUUGCUUAUGCCACUCAGAGGAGACACUGGAAGACAAGAGUUUCGGUUCCCCGGCGGGCGCCUGGGUCCGGGUCACGCCACGAGGGCGCGCCGCGGGACGGUCCGCCGAAGCAACAUAGGUAUGUUCACAGGGGUUUGGGAGUUGGAUAACUCAGUAAUGAUCCCUCCGCUGGUUCACCAACGGAGA
RNAcentral lists this unclassified non-coding RNA (196 nucleotides) under uncultured fungus. Its description in RNAcentral is "sequence contains ITS1". Lineage: Eukaryota; Fungi. The record is from RNAcentral.